ACACCAGGUCGCAGACUCAGAAAGGAAAGUUUUUCAUGAAAACAACUUCUGAUGGCGGGAAGAGUAAGGGGGAAACGAGCGCCGUACCCGCCAGAGAAGUGGAACGGCGAAUUCGGCGGGGUCGUGGAGGUGACGGACGCGCUGCUGAGAGGGUGUCAGAGUUUCAAGGACGAGACGGCAAACUAACUGAGAAUUCGCUCUUCCCACCAAACAAUGUGCCCGUCUCUGCUCUACCAUCGAUGGAUCUAAGUCGCCCGCUGCACGGUUCAACUUACCCCACCAGCCUAGUGGACGAGGAUUACGUUCGAAGCGGCUCUCCUACAUUGUAUUCCGUAGUUGACAGUGAACCCACUGAAUCUACCUCCUUUGUUUCCCCUGUCGUUGGGAACCGAUGCAGCUGAAACGCAGCCGGAUACCAAUCGUUGCUUGCUCCGUACUGCU
This 441-nucleotide long non-coding RNA is filed under the name Toxoplasma gondii VEG. The record is from RNAcentral. Lineage: Eukaryota; Apicomplexa; Conoidasida; Eucoccidiorida; Sarcocystidae.